Dromaius novaehollandiae (emu) is the source of this 318-nucleotide long non-coding RNA. RefSeq lists it as uncharacterized. NCBI's taxonomy places the organism in Eukaryota, Metazoa, Chordata, Aves, Casuariiformes, Dromaiidae. The transcript has 3 exons. The record is from RefSeq and is a predicted model, not a curated record.
UUUGGGACUUGAUGCAGCACAAGAGAUCGUCCAUCUGUUAGGUCGCUUUCAAAGCAAUAAUAUCUAACAGAUCUUUUCACUCUCAAUGAACCUGGAGGCUUUACAGUUCAUGUUAAAACAGAUUACCCUGAAUUUUAAGACCAGAGAACUAAGCUGAUGGUGGCCCUUCCCCUUGAGAAUGCUCGCUGUGCUCUUACUCGUGAAAGAGCUGGUGCCAAGCUGGGUGAGGACAUUACUCCGCUGAAAAGUAAGACAAGUAGCCUGCGGGGAAUGCCACAAGCUGCUUUUUGCUAUGGCGAUGUAUGGGAUGGUGGCAGC